Molecule: ribosomal RNA, 696 nt
Filed under: uncultured organism
Description: bacterial SSU rRNA
Rfam family: Bacterial small subunit ribosomal RNA
Source: RNAcentral
UAGAUAUCAGGAAGUACACCGGUGGCGAAGGCGGCUUCCUGGUCCGAUUCUGACGCUGAGGCGCGAAAGCGUGGGGAUCGAACAGGAUUAGAUACCCUGGUAGUCCACGCUGUAAACGAUGGGUACUAGGUGUUGGUCCUUUUUAGGAUCAGCGCCGCAGCUUACGCAUUAAGUACCCCGCCUGGGGAAUACGACCGCAAGGUUGAUACUCAAAGGAAUUGACGGGGGCCCGCACAAGCGGUGGAGCAUGUGGUUUAAUUCGAUGCAACGCGAAGAACCUUACCUGGGCUUGAACCGUAGUCGAAAACCCCUGAAAAGGGGUCCUCCUUCGGGACGGCUAUAGAGGUGCUGCAUGGCUGUCGUCAGCUCGUGCCGUGAGGUGUUGGGUUAAGUCCCGCAACGAGCGCAACCCUUGCCCUUAGUUGCCAUCAGGUUAUGCUGGGAACUCUAAGGGGACUGCCCCGGAUAACGGGGAGGAAGGUGGGGAUGACGUCAAGUCCUCAUGGCCCUUACGUCCAGGGCUACACACGUGCUACAAUGGCCGGUACAAUGGGCAGCGAUACCGCAAGGUGGAGCAAAUCCUUAAAACCGGUCUCAGUUCAGAUUGCAGUCUGCAACUCGACUGCAUGAAGUCGGUAUCUCUAGUAAUCGCGGAUCAGCAUACCGCGGUGAAUACGUUCCCGGGCCUUGUACACA